AAUCCUGCGGUAUCUAUUAAAUAAUGUUAAUUAUAUAUAAUUAAAAAGAAAUACGUUAGCCUAUGUUUUUAUAAAUAGCGCCUCAUUGAAGUUUACAUUUAAAAUAAUGAAGGUAUGGGUUAGUUAGGGACGUCCCAGGGAUCCCGGAUAGCACUAUCCGUCAGGGGGUUGCGAAGGAGUCAGACGGAAUCAAGUGCAAAAUGUGCAUAAUUAUGGAAUUUAUUUACAGGUGCAGAAGGUUAGCUUCCUUUUAGGCAGAGUGCCGACAAUUCUUCACACAGCUGAGUUUAGCAGAGCCACAGCUGGGACAACAUGACACUCCAGCCUAAAUUUUCCCUAAAAUGAGCCACCUGAGGCUAAUAAGGUAAAAAAAUAAAAUAAUUACCCAACCCUUAACACUGGGAUAAUCCAAAAUGAACAUAAACAGGUAUUUCCUCAGUUUAAAUAAAGAUCUCACUCAAUACUUCACUAGUUUCAAUAUCACUAGCAAAUACAUAAUACAUUUCAACACAUCAGGACAUAAUGUUACAUAAAUAUUCAACGAAGAAAGAUAUUAGGCAAACACCCAUCAACAAAGAACAUUGUAAUUACUAAGCGCAAGCACCUGUUGGAUAAAAUGUGGACGUGACCAAAGCGCGCCAUCCAGGUCGAAACAGUUUACAAACAAUCGAAAUUGGCGAGUACAGACAGAGAGGUCCGACUCGGCGGAAGAUCUGCCUCCCUACAUCAGAUUCCCAAUAUCCUGUGGUCGAAUGAGGAUGGAACCUCAGGUCUAGACACAGACAGAGGAGGUCAGAGGUCACAGCUGCAAUAUAUUGGGCCAUUCUCCUUCAGCUCAACGCCCCCGUCUGCCUGGGCCACAGCCCAUCUCUGACCACGUUCCAGGACCCAACGUCUGUUUUUACCGUUGUUUAAGCUCUGUCACGAAAGCGACUGUGGGUCCUAGAUCCAGCCAUUCCCCCCCAUCCUGUCAACUGUCUACCCUCUCACCCCUCCUC
Long non-coding RNA from Salvelinus sp. IW2-2015, 998 nucleotides. RefSeq lists it as uncharacterized. The record is from RefSeq and is a predicted model, not a curated record. NCBI's taxonomy places the organism in Eukaryota, Metazoa, Chordata, Actinopteri, Salmoniformes, Salmonidae.